GCCACAUGAUGAUAUCAAGGCUGUGGUGAUUCAGUUGGUUUGGCUAAGUCUGGGGAACUUUGACCUAUUAAGGUCUGUAAUCUUGGUGGACAAUACAGAGUUAUGUGUGUUCACUGUAAGGGCAGACCGACAAGAAAUUCUUCCUGCUUUUGAACUAUUUCUCUUUCAUAGAGAUGAUUCUUCCCAGUUGCCAGGAAGAAACUGUGGUAACUGGAGUGAGAAAGUAGGAAGAGACAGGGCAUGUUCAUGGUAUCAGAGUCAGGGGUCUCAAAGGACUUAGCUUGUGUUGUGACCACUGAGAGAUGAAACACAGAUCUUUGGUAAUCUGAUGGCU
Small nucleolar RNA from Molossus molossus (Pallas's mastiff bat), 334 nucleotides. Lineage: Eukaryota; Metazoa; Chordata; Mammalia; Chiroptera; Molossidae. The record is from RefSeq and is a predicted model, not a curated record.